UGGAAGUAAAAAGUCGUAACAAGGUUUCCGUAGGUGAACCUGCGGAAGGAUCAUUCACAAGAUUAUAUUUUAUAUUACUUUGUGGAACAUUUGGUUGAAUUUACAUGUUUUAUUACAAAAAAUUAAUUAUAAUUAAAAAAAUAAUUUUAAGAAAACCUCCAACAACGGAUCUCUUGGUUCCCAGAUCGAUGAAGAGCGCAGCGAAUUGCGAAAUGUGAUGUGUAUUGCAGUGAAUCAUCAAUUCUUGAACGCACAUGGCACCCCUUUUAGGGGUAUGCUUGUAUGAGGGUGUUUAAUAUGAAAUUGCUUUGGCUUUUUUUAAAUAAAUGGUUUUUCAAAUUGUUACUAAUAGACGAAAGAAUCAGUGCAACAAGCUGUGUUGAAUCUUUCAUUAAAUCUUUUAGUUAACUACUUUAACUAUUUGCACCUCAUAUCAAGCAAGACUACCCGCUGAACUUAAGCAUAUCAAUAAGCGGAGGAA
This 481-nucleotide ribosomal RNA is filed under the name Magnusiomyces capitatus. RNAcentral describes it as "eukaryotic LSU rRNA". The stretch from base 154 to 292 matches the Rfam family "5.8S ribosomal RNA". The record is from RNAcentral. Lineage: Eukaryota; Fungi; Ascomycota; Dipodascomycetes; Dipodascales; Dipodascaceae.